This 99-nucleotide small nucleolar RNA is filed under the name Arabidopsis thaliana (thale cress). RNAcentral's name for it is "partial JKHR07C7". The record is from RNAcentral. Lineage: Eukaryota; Viridiplantae; Streptophyta; Magnoliopsida; Brassicales; Brassicaceae.
GGGGCUUCAGAUAAUUCCUGAUCGAAGAAACUGUAUACCAAAAAAACUUCUGAGCCUUUUUUUUUUAGCAAAAAAAAAAAAAAAAAAAAAAAAAAAAAA